AUUGCUCUGUGUGUGUGUGUGUGUGUGUGUGUGUGUGUGUGUGUGUGUGUGUGUGUGUGUGUGUGUGUGUGUGUGUGUGUGCGCGUCUUCCAUCAUAAACCCAUUUCUGCUACACUCUGUGUGGGUGGCUCGCAAAGGGCAUCCUAUUAAUUGAAUUGGGCGACAUAGCUCCUCUAAAAUAGCAAACAGCAACAAGUUGUGGGCUGCAGAAGGAAGACUCACAAAGGCUUGUUUCAUGACCGGAGUUUUCAAAAGACCAACUUUGAUGUGACUGACUUGAUCUGACAUAUGGGCUGAUUUUAUUCAGCUUCUUAAUUAGCCUAAAAAGCGCCCGCUUCUCUGCCACCAGCUCCCUGGUGCUCUUUUCACAGAGUGUUUACGCGUUGCUGUAAAGCAGGAGCCACCCUGGAUGUAUUAACAGGUGCACAUCCAGGAGUCAAGAAGGGGAUGAGACCUCCUCACCAAAAUACCUCAAACAUAGCGAAUGAAUUCAAGGGGACCCACUGUAGCACGGGAGGAAAAGCGAACAUUCAAGGUGCUGUCAUUUUUUACAUGCUUCCGUGAGGUCCUUGAUGCGCUGUAGAUUUACCACCUGUGAAUCUGGCAAUCAAGGAACUGAAUAGUCUGUUCAGCAGCUCUUGAUGAGUAAAGACGGUGGAAUGCUGAGAGCUGCUGUGCCAUUAAACAGCCGCGGCUGCGGUGCCACGGGGAGAGAAACAUAGAGAGCGAGACCGCCCGCUGUUCGUGAUAAGCCCAAACUGGACCGUUCAGUGGACGAGUCGACACCACGGCGGUCGUCUGCUCUCGCCCUUGGGUCAGCGUCAGUCAUCACCGGGGUCUCACGUCAUACUGACCUGCAUCAGAGCCUUCACGGAGUCAACAACCGCCGUUCGGUUGGGAUUAUUGUUAUAUUUCACUUGUACUUUUAGGUUGUGUCUAUUGAGCAUGAGGAGAAAGACAGAUCAAACUGCCCCAUUGUUUAAAAGUGUUCAUUUGAGAGGCUGCUGUGUAUUGACACCGGCUCUGCGAGCUGUAAUUACCUCUCUGCACUGCCCACGCCGUUUAUCGCAGAAGGCAAUUAAAGCGAGUCUGACUCUGACUCUAAUGUGACCCUGUGCACCCAUCGCUUCUCCUGUGCCAACAGAGGCACAGCGCUGUCAAGUCUGCAUCUCUGUUGGCGAAUGAGUGGCAGCAUGAAACACACACACACACACACACACACACACACACACACACACACACACACACACACACACACACACACACACACACACGCACACACAUAGAACCCUAAUCUGUGGAGACAUCACACUCCAGAAAUAAUAUUAAAAUAUAUAUAUAUAUAUUU
RNAcentral lists this long non-coding RNA (1348 nucleotides) under Betta splendens (Siamese fighting fish). RNAcentral describes it as "lncRNA (ENSBSLG00000019031.1)". Lineage: Eukaryota; Metazoa; Chordata; Actinopteri; Anabantiformes; Osphronemidae. The record is from RNAcentral.